Molecule: long non-coding RNA, 945 nt
Filed under: Piliocolobus tephrosceles (Ugandan red Colobus)
Lineage: Eukaryota; Metazoa; Chordata; Mammalia; Primates; Cercopithecidae
Description: lncRNA (ENSPTEG00000020270.1)
Source: RNAcentral
CACAUAAUAGCAUUUUGAAUAAUUCUAAUCAAAGAGAUAAAGAAAUUGAUUAUAUGAAAUAUAAUAAUAAUAUAAAUAAUAAUAAUAAUAAUCAACAAAAUACAGAAUAUAAAAAUAUGGAAAUGUUUGGUAACUCACAUAAGCCAGAUGAUUAUAAUAUUGAAUUUUAUGAUCGUCCAUAUGAAGACAAUAAUAAUGAAAAUAACAAUUAUGAUGAUAAUAACAGUAAAAUAAACCCCCCCUCACGCACAAAUGUAUUUAAAAACGCUAUUGAAGCUAAAAGAAAUAUAAACAAAAUGUCAAAAGAAAACCCAUGUAGUAAUAUUAAAUCAUUAAAUUAUUGUAAAACAUUAAACGACAGAUUUAAUAAUGACACAUGUGAUUAUGAGGAUGCAUUAAAUUUAUGCUGUGCUAUUUCAGAUUACUGUAUGCAGUUUUUUGAAAGCAAUUCAAAUGAAUAUAAAGAAUGUAUAAAUGAUGAAUUUUAUUCUCCUGUAUAUAAAUGCUUUAAGAAAAAACGAUCCUCAAACGCUACUUAUUAUGCAUCAGGAGGUGUAAUACUAAUAGCAGCAUUAGCAGUAGGCUACUACAUGAUGGGAUACGAAUCUAGAAAACAGGAAGUCGAAGACGAUAAUAGUUAUAAUGAAACUUAUAAAAAUUUAAUAACACGUAAGUAUCUUAGUAAUGACUUAAAAUACUUAAACAUAUAAAUAUUUUAACAUUAGUUAAAGUAGAUAUUCCACUUUAUAUUUAUAUGUAUAUAUUUAUAUAUAUAUUUAUACUUUUUUUUUUUUUUUUCUGGGGGGAUGUUUUAGGUGAUGAAGAAUGCCAACCUGAAUUUUACAGUGAUAUCACAAACUCUCCUGUCCAUAAAUCUAAUGUUUAUUAAUUUUAACAAUUGUAUAAUUUAAAAAAAUAAAAAAAAACGAUUAGUUUAUGUGUGCA